Molecule: long non-coding RNA, 478 nt
Organism: Hibiscus syriacus
Lineage: Eukaryota; Viridiplantae; Streptophyta; Magnoliopsida; Malvales; Malvaceae
Exons: 2
Source: RefSeq, a predicted model, not a curated record
GUCAAGGAUGAAUUCACAAAUAGAUCAAAAGGAUAUGCAUUUAUUCAAUACACUUCUCAGGAUGAGGCUAUGAUUGCCAUAGAGAACAUGGAUCAACAGGUAUUUGAUGGCAGGAUAUAGUUGAAAUAGCAAAACCGGGAAAAGACCGGUUCAAGGAUAUCCUAAAACAUCAGGACCCCCGAGUGCUACGCCGCAGUUACAACAACUGAACGAUGUCGCAGACUGCUGGUACUAGACACAUCCAUCUUUUAUGAAAAGAUGUUGGAGCAAAGGAGAAUAUGUGACCGAUAGCCCCAAAAUAAGCUUGGUGAUUUAAUUUACCCUUCAUAGCAAGGUUAGUUGGGCAACUAAGUAAACAAGAGGGAUUUGUGAGUGUUUCUAAUGGCAUCAGGGGUUUUGCACAUGAAUUCUUAUUUAUGUUGAUUGAUACAUAACUAGUAGAUUAGAUGCCAUACAGAAACAAUUAUCGUUUGUAACA